GAGGGUAUAGCUCGGUGGUAGAGCACAUCCUUACGUGCACAAGGUCCUGGGUUCAAUUCCUAGUACUUUCA
This 71-nucleotide transfer RNA is filed under the name Camelus bactrianus (Bactrian camel). It matches the Rfam family "tRNA". From Rfam's summary of the family: Transfer RNA (tRNA) molecules are approximately 80 nucleotides in length. Lineage: Eukaryota; Metazoa; Chordata; Mammalia; Artiodactyla; Camelidae. The record is from Rfam by way of RNAcentral. RNAcentral also lists the same sequence under 2 other names.